CGAACUCGGAAUGGGGCGAGACUUUGCGAGGGGCCUCGGGGUGCCCGCGGGAAGUUGCGGGCACAGCCGCGCCCAAAAAUAAGCGCCCGAAGGUCGUGGUGCCAAAACCCCCCAGCGGAAAAAUGGCGAAAAAACGGGUGGGCUAUAGCCUUGGUGGGGGGCGCGGGCGAAGUUCGUCUGCAGGACUCGGAAUGGGGCGAGACUUUGCGAGGGGCCUCGGGGUGCCAAAAAUAAGCCGCGGGCAAGGCCGCGCCCAAAAAUAAGCGCCCGAAGGUCGUGGUGCCAAAACCCCCCAGCGGAAAAAUGGCCAAAAAACGGGUGGGCUAUAGCCUUGGUGGGGGGCGCGGGCGAAGUUCGUCCGCCGGACUCGGAAUGGGGCGAGACUUUGCGAGGGGCCUCGGGGUGCCCGCGGGAAGUUGCGGGCACAGCCGCGCCCAAAAAUAAGCGCCCGAAGGUCGUGGUGCCAAAACCCCCCAGCGGAAAAAUGGCGAAAAAACGGGUGGGCUAUAGCCUUGGUGGGGGGCGCGGGCGAAGUUCGUCUGCAGGACUCGGAAUGGGGCGAGACUUUGCGAGGGGCCUCGGGGUGCCAAAAAUAACCGCGGGCAAGGCCGCGCCCAAAAAUAAGCGCCCGAAGGUCGUGGUGCCAAAACCCCCCAGCGGAAAAAUGGCCAAAAAACGGGUGGGCUAUAGCCUUGGUGGGGGGCGCGGGGGAAGUUCGUCCGCCGGACUCGGAAUGGGGCGAGACUUUGCGAGGGGCCUCGGGGUGCCAAAAUUAAGCCGCGGGCAAGGCCGCGCCCAAAAAUAAGCGCCCGAAGGUCGUGGUGCCAAAACCCCCCAGCGGAAAAAUGGC
RNAcentral lists this long non-coding RNA (850 nucleotides) under Citrus x clementina. RNAcentral's name for it is "Citrus clementina (C. clementina) long non-coding RNA (CCLE_LNC003724)". The record is from RNAcentral. Lineage: Eukaryota; Viridiplantae; Streptophyta; Magnoliopsida; Sapindales; Rutaceae.